GAACGGCAGCACAGGAGAGCUUGCUCUCUGGGUGGCGAGUGGCGGACGGGUGAGGAAUACAUCGGAAUCUACUUUUUCGUGGGGGAUAACGUAGGGAAACUUACGCUAAUACCGCAUACGACCUACGGGUGAAAGCAGGGGAUCUUCGGACCUUGCGCGAUUGAAUGAGCCGAUGUCGGAUUAGCUAGUUGGCGGGGUAAAGGCCCACCAAGGCGACGAUCCGUAGCUGGUCUGAGAGGAUGAUCAGCCACACUGGAACUGAGACACGGUCCAGACUCCUACGGGAGGCAGCAGUGGGGAAUAUUGGACAAUGGGCGCAAGCCUGAUCCAGCCAUACCGCGUGGGUGAAGAAGGCCUUCGGGUUGUAAAGCCCUUUUGUUGGGAAAGAAAUCCAGCUGGUUAAUACCCGGUUGGGAUGACGGUACCCAAAGAAUAAGCACCGGCUAACUUCGUGCCAGCAGCCGCGGUAAUACGAAGGGUGCAAGCGUUACUCGGAAUUACUGGGCGUAAAGCGUGCGUAGGUGGUCGUUUAAGUCCGUUGUGAAAGCCCUGGGCUCAACCUGGGAACUGCAGUGGAUACUGGGCGACUAGAGUGUGGUAGAGGGUAGCGGAAUUCCUGGUGUAGCAGUGAAAUGCGUAGAGAUCAGGAGGAACAUCCAUGGCGAAGGCAGCUACCUGGACCAACACUGACACUGAGGCACGAAAGCGUGGGGAGCAAACAGGAUUAGAUAUCCUGGUAGUCCACGCCCUAAACGAUGCGAACUGGAUGUUGGGUGCAAUUUG
RNAcentral lists this ribosomal RNA (783 nucleotides) under uncultured Stenotrophomonas bacterium. Its description in RNAcentral is "bacterial SSU rRNA". It matches the Rfam family "Bacterial small subunit ribosomal RNA", at positions 64 to 836 of the family's 1533-position model. The record is from RNAcentral. Lineage: Bacteria; Pseudomonadati; Pseudomonadota; Gammaproteobacteria; Lysobacterales; Lysobacteraceae.